UACGGAGGGGGCUAGCGUUGUUCGGAAUUACUGGGCGUAAAGCGCGCGUAGGCGGCUUUGUAAGUUAGAGGUGAAAGCCCGGAGCUCAACUCCGGAACUGCCUUUAAGACUGCAUCGCUAGAACGUCGGAGAGGUGAGUGGAAUUCCGAGUGUAGAGGUGAAAUUCGUAGAUAUUCGGAAGAACACCAGUGGCGAAGGCGACUCACUGGACGACUGUUGACGCUGAGGUGCGAAAGCGUGGGGAGCAAACAGG
RNAcentral lists this ribosomal RNA (253 nucleotides) under uncultured bacterium. RNAcentral describes it as "partial 16S ribosomal RNA". It matches the Rfam family "Bacterial small subunit ribosomal RNA", at positions 524 to 776 of the family's 1533-position model. The record is from RNAcentral.